Ziziphus jujuba (common jujube) is the source of this 1188-nucleotide long non-coding RNA. RefSeq lists it as uncharacterized. The transcript has 3 exons. The record is from RefSeq and is a predicted model, not a curated record. Lineage: Eukaryota; Viridiplantae; Streptophyta; Magnoliopsida; Rosales; Rhamnaceae.
CAGAAACCACUGGACAAUAUGCGAAAGUCGGAAAAGUGAAGAAGAAACAAGGAAAGAAAGAAAAGAAAUUAAAAGAUGGAGAAUCGAGAACCAUUGCUGCUGUUGGGAGUGAUUUUCUGGUAAUACAUAUCAAGCAUAUUAAACGAGAAGAGUGAUGUUUAUAGCUUUGGGGUUGUAUUGUUGGAGAUUAUUACAGGUCGACCUGCCAUUUAUAAAUUUCAUCAUGACCAGAACAUUCAAGUUAGUGAUUGGAUUAGUUCCAUACUUAGAGGGAAAUUUUGAUAUAAACCAAGGCCUCGAAAGCUGUUGAAUUAGCAAUCAAUUUAGUGUCUUCUAAAUCCAGCCAAAGGCCAUCCAUGAGCCGAGUAGUGAUUGAACUAAAGGAGUGUUUGGAUAAAAGAAUUGCUUCGACGAAGGAGAGUGGCGAUAUUGAUUGGAAAGAGUCCAUUGAAACGCGGCCUUUAAAUUCAAUCAUUCGGUUAAGUCUCUCAGCCGGAUAGGAUUUGUAGCUGUGUAUGAAGCACGCGUUUUGUACUGAAACCUAUUAAGCAGACCACAAGUUAUAGACAGCAUCUAGCGAGUAUCAAUUCCAUCAUAUACAUACAGUUUUGGUGUAACAGCCUAGACCAUCCGUAUGCGAUAUUGUUCACUUUGGACCCAGUCCGCACGGUUUUGUCAAAACGCAUCGCAGUGGUUAGGGAUCCCACCCCUUCACCUGUCAGUCCCAUUGGCUUGGGCCCCAGACCCAACCGAGAUAUUGUCCGCUUUGGAAGCUAGGUGGUGAGCCUAAUCCUACCUCUCACGGUUUUACUUUCCCUCAUGGGAACGCAUCGCUAUGGUUGAGGGGUCCCACCCACUCCACCAACCACCGAUAUUGUCCUCUUUAGGCGAGGAAGCAUACCUCAAAGGUUUGUUCUUUCCCAGGAAGGCGUCGUAAGGGAAAGGUAUCCACACCACCUUAUAUGGCAUAUUUCGUUCUCCUUUCCAACCGAUAUGGGACUUCACAUUAGGGGGGGCAUAAAUGCUCAUUUCAGUAUCUUUAGACAAUAUUUCCUUCAUGCCUCCAAGUGCCAAAACCUUAUAAAGUCUAGCUUACAUUAUUGUUUUGUGAUACCAAUUUGUUGAAUACUUACAGUAACAAAAUGCAAGAGCUGGGAUUUGUAAAGAAAACAAAUUGAAGGGAAAGGA